AGCUUUGUGCACUGGCAGUAUCAUAGCCAAUGAGGUUUACCCAAGGCACAAUAAUUGCUAACUGCAAACAGCAUAAAACCAACUGCCGAAAAAAUGCUUCGUGUUCCUUUACUAAAGAAGACACAUGAGGCCAACAAACAUAUGAAAAAAUGCUCAUC
RNAcentral lists this small nuclear RNA (158 nucleotides) under Callithrix jacchus (white-tufted-ear marmoset). RNAcentral describes it as "U4 spliceosomal RNA". The stretch from base 1 to 117 matches the Rfam family "U4 spliceosomal RNA". Rfam says of the family: U4 small nuclear RNA (U4 snRNA) is a component of the major U2-dependent spliceosome. Lineage: Eukaryota; Metazoa; Chordata; Mammalia; Primates; Cebidae. The record is from Rfam by way of RNAcentral.